This is a long non-coding RNA of Pezoporus occidentalis (night parrot), 1039 nucleotides long. RefSeq lists it as uncharacterized. The transcript is spliced from 3 exons. The record is from RefSeq and is a predicted model, not a curated record. NCBI's taxonomy places the organism in Eukaryota, Metazoa, Chordata, Aves, Psittaciformes, Psittacidae.
CUGCAGAUGAAUCACGUUUGGAAAUGAUCCUCCCUGUGCCGUUUUGCUUCCAUCAGCAAUCUCUUGGGAUGUGCCUGGAUCUCCCUGAGGCUUUGGCUGUCCAGAAGCUCUGUUCUUUCUGCAAGGCAACUGUUGGUGGGGCCGCAGGCUCCCCGCUGCUCGGCCUCCGGGGCUGCCUCCGCCACUGGCUUGCUGGCCACGCUGCCGACUGCAGCUUGCUGGCGGAGAGGCCACCUUUGUCUGCCAGCCCGUCCGCCCUCCUCCUCCUGCCAGAGCUAUUUCUGGAAGCAGCAGCUGAGGCCGAGGAUUGUUAAUUGUUCAUCAACCCCCUUACAGCCCGGUUAGAUCACAUGCGGAGAUUAGAGCACCUCGUCACACCCUUUCCUCCGCCUCCUUCUCGUGUAUCCCCCCCUCCCCCGACCCGCAGGGAUGGGGGGUAAUGUCCCUUCCGCAGGCAGACGGGGAGACACGAGGCGUGUGCGACUGUCCGGGAUGCCAGCCCCACCGAAGUGACGGCUCCCACGCUGUGUCCAGCCAUGGUGGUUGCUUCUCGGUGGAAGAAGGAGGGUCCCCACUACAAGCCCUGAAACACCCCCUGAGCUUUCUCGGAGGCUACCCUGGUGCCUGGAGCUGUGUCUGGGGGGUGGGUUAUCUCCUGCAGCCCCCGGCCACCAGCCUGGCCCUGACAGCAUGUUUCACAGCUAUGGCAAAGCAAGGUUUCAGUUCCCAAAGAGCUGCCACAGACCCCAUCACCCCUGGAGAUGCUGGUGGCAUAUUGUCCUCCCCCACCCGGUCUUGCAGCCCUACCUGACCCCGUUGUGGAUCUUCAUCUUCUAUUCUGGGCUGUGAGCUUUGCUGCCAGACCCCUGGAGCAGAUCUCUUGCCUGGCAGUGGGGCAGGCAUGGCUUUCUGCUCCAUGUCAGGGCAGAUAUUCCUUGAAGAACUCAAAGCUGCACUUCCCCCUCUAGCCAGCACGGUCUCUAACACGACAAGAUCUCAGAGCCCGCUGCUGAAACUGAAACAUUUCUGACCUGUAAAA